UACGUAGGUGGCAAGCGUUGUCCGGAAUUAUUGGGCGUAAAGCGCGCGCAGGCGGCGGUGUUGGCCCGGCGUGAAAGCCCCCGGCUCAACCGGGGAGAGUCGUCGGGGACCGCACCGCUUGAGGGCGGUAGGGGCUGGUGGAAUGCCUGGUGUAGUGGUGAAAUGCGUAGAGAUCAGGCAGAACACCUGGGGCGAAGGCGGCCAGCUGGGCCGUCCCUGACGCUGAGGCGCGAAGGCGUGGGGAGCGAACGGG
This 253-nucleotide ribosomal RNA is filed under the name uncultured bacterium. Its description in RNAcentral is "partial 16S ribosomal RNA". It matches the Rfam family "Bacterial small subunit ribosomal RNA", at positions 524 to 776 of the family's 1533-position model. The record is from RNAcentral.